RNAcentral lists this unclassified non-coding RNA (242 nucleotides) under Hevea brasiliensis (rubber tree). The record is from RNAcentral. Lineage: Eukaryota; Viridiplantae; Streptophyta; Magnoliopsida; Malpighiales; Euphorbiaceae.
AUCAAGACUUUGAGAUGGCCCACUUCUGUUGAAGCUCCACCCAAGAAUGUAAUGGUAGCUUGCCAUUGAUCCAGUGGAUGAAGAGAAACCAACAUACAUAGAAUCCAAGAGGACUAGAGAAAGAUCAAUAUUUGUUGACAAUAGAGGCUUUCCUGGUUUCUUGCUUAUUACAGGAGCUACUGUUACAUUGAGAAGCUUCUCCACGUCAUCAUAAUCUAUCCACACCUGCAUUGGAUUUCCAC